RNAcentral lists this long non-coding RNA (9025 nucleotides) under Capsicum annuum. Its description in RNAcentral is "long non-coding RNA (CANN_LNC022560)". Lineage: Eukaryota; Viridiplantae; Streptophyta; Magnoliopsida; Solanales; Solanaceae. The record is from RNAcentral.
AGUUGAAGCAAAACCCUCUCUUGUACCCAAAACUUUUGAAUUAUUUAAUAAAAACAGGUAUAUUUCCAAGGAAAAGCUAUGAAUCAGACAGCUAUGGAAAAUAUAGAAUUAUCAGAUUUACCAGAACAGGUAUUUAUAUUUGUGAUUAUGAAUAACUAAAUUCAUAAAUUCCUGACAAUCAUGAUAUGAUAAAAUAAGUUCAUGUUAGUUACUUUAUAGUAGAAUUAUUCGAAGAAUAACAUGUUAAGAAGUUUACUAGCAAAGAGGUAAAAGGAUAAAAAUCCCUAAGAACUAUGUCAUCCUAAAGGUGAAAUCGGUGAGGCAAGAAAGCCGUGAUAGGGGAGUAGCCAGGGUAGAGGCGUUGUUUAAGGAAAAAGUAUCCAGAUUAGCAUGCUAAUAGUGACCGAAGAACAUGUUAUUUAAGGAUAAUCUAGUAUAUAGUAAUCUAAAAUAAUCAUAUUUUGUUAUGUGUAUGAUUGAAGGGAAUAUUUUGAAAAAAGCAUCAUAUGAAAAAUGAAUACUUAUUUAUUUGAUAAAAUGGUAGAUAAAUUUAAAAUACUUGUUUUAUAUAUACUUAAGGAUAUAGAAAUAGUAGAUAUAAGAAAAAUCAUAUUGGAAAAAAUAUUUGAUAAAUAUUUUAUGACUAGAAUUAAUUAUAUACCACACCUACCUAACUAUUACAAACACCUACAUACCAAACCAAAAUAUCAACCAUGAUAAACUACGUGUAUUUAGAAUAUUGGAAAAUGGAUAUGAAAAAUAUACAAUUAAUAGAAAAACUAAUGAAAACAAAUUUAGAAGAAUAAAUGAGAACUAAAGAUAUAAAAUAUAUAGAAUUCCUUAAUGAAAAUAUAGAGAAAUUAUUAAAAUUAAAACAAACAACUAAUAAAUACUAUGAUAAAGCAUUUAAUUACUAGAAUCUAAUUCCAAGUUAUACAAGUUAUUCGUAAGAAAACCUUAGCAUAAUAUGAAUAAUAUGAGAAGAUAUAUAUCUGAUGAAACUAAGAUACUAGUUUUAUAUAUCAUAAAAGACUUAGAAUUAGAAGACAUAAAGAAAAUAAUAUGAAAAAAAAUAUUUAAUUAUGUAGAUGAGUUACUAAGUACUAAUUGGAUAGAAGAUGAAUUAAGAAAAUAUAGAUUUCUAUGGUAGAAAUAAUUUAGAUAGUUAUUAUUUAGAUGAAUAUUAUACAGAUUAAGAAUGCUAAAAUAUAUUCAAAGAAUUAGAGAAAAAUAAAGUUGGCUAUAUGAAGAAAUUAAUUAUAGAAACAGCUUAGAAGAGGAAGAGAACAAUUAAAAGAAAGAUUAAUUUGGAUAGAUAAAACCAUAAAACAACUAGAAUUAAAAGAUAAUUUAAAAUAUGAUUUAGACAUAGAAUUAUUCAUAGACGAAAAAGAUAGGAUAAUUAACAAAAUAGAUAACCUAGAAUUUAAUAUUAGAUCUAUUACAAUUAGAAUAAAUUAUUACAAAGAAAUUUGCAGUAUCACAACUACUUUAGGAUAAAAUGAUAGACUAUGAGUAUUUAAAAUAUUGGAGACAAGAUAUGGAAGAAAUAAGAUUAACAUAACUACUUAUGAAAGAGAAUUUAAUUAAAUAUUUUAGAACAAAGGAUAUAGAAUAUUUAGAAUACCUUCAAAAUAAUAUACAAGAAUUACAAAUACUAAGAGAACAAAAUUAAAGAAUAUUACAGUACAGCAUUUAAUCAAAUACCAUUCAAUCACCCCCCAAAAUAUGAACAUUAAUAAAAUUAAAAUAAAAAUAAACUCAAAAUAAAAAUGUUUAGAGAAGUUAAGAAAUAUCCACGCACAAAUAAAAAUAACUCCAUUAGAGCUAUAAUAGAUAAAAAUAGCUCCAUUAGAGCUAUAAUAGAUCUAUUUAAGUUAUCCAAGUUUAUCCGCACCCCCUACAUUGGACAGAAAUACUUAUGAAAGAGAAUUUAAUUGAAUAUUUCAGAACAAAGGAUAUAGAAUAUUUAGAAUACCUUCAAAAUAAUAUACAAGAAUUACAAAGACUAAGAGAAAAAAACUAAAGAAUAUUAAAGUAAAGCAUUUAAUCAAAUACCAUUCAAUCACCCCCCAAAAUAUGAACAUUAAUAAAAUUAAAAUAAAUAAACUCAAAAUAAAAAUAUUUAGAGAAGUUAAAAAAUAUCCACGCACAAAUAAAAAUAACUCCAUUAGAGCUAUAAUAGAUCUAUUAAGUUAUCCAAGUUUAUCCGCACCCCUACAUUAUAAUAGAUCUUUUUUAGUCCUAAAAUAUAUGAGACUCCUAAAAUAUAUGGUAGGAGAAUUAAUUAAUAUUAUCCCUUAUACUAUACUUCCUAAAAUAUAUGAGAAUCUUAAAAUAUAUGAUAAGAGAAUUAAUUAAUAUUUUUCUUUCUACCAUUCAAUUAGAAAAAUACUCCUAAAAUAGGAUUCUAUUAAGGAAAUACUUCUUAAAUAUUGAGAUGUCCAUUAAACUAGAAAACAAAUCGGUUUGCCUAUUGGAAGAAUAUGACUGAUGCCCGUCUAACUUGAUUCGAUUGCAUGUCUAGAUUGGUGGAUGCUUGAUUUUCUAAUUCUCAACUUCUUCACUGUCUUUGUCAGCAUAAUAGAAUUCAACAUAUGUGUAUGUAUAUAUCUUUUUUAUUUUCAUGCAAAAUCAUUCUUUAGGGCCAAAAUUUUCGUUCAGGCAAGAAUUAGUUGGAUCAAAAUCUAAGCUUUGCUAUCACUAUUCUAUGUAGCUGUUUGGCCAUGAAAACUAAAAUUUUUCGGAGUUGGAGUUGAAAUUGGAGUUGGAGUUGUGUUUGGUCAUGUCUUUUCUGAAUUUAUUUUUUGACUUUUGAAAAAAAAAAUUUAAACAUGAUUUUAUGCCCUAACUUUUACAAACUAUCAAAAUCACCCAACUAAAAUUUACGUACUAAUGAAAAAAGAACACAAUUAACCACUAUUAUAAAAAUAAUUACAUAUACAUGACCAUAUUUAAUGAAUUUUAAUUAUGACAUAUAUAAUAUUUACAUUAAUAGUCGUUUUCUCAUAUUUGAAAAUUUUAAAUAUGGAUGUUAUAUUAACAGAUCACUGCUUCCUGAUUUUUAGAUAACAAAUAUUAUCUUUCAAACAAAUUUAUUUUUUUAGAAAUUUAUUUAAUUUAUUUCCUUCAUUUUUCGUUCCUAAAAAAUAGGAAAUGAUGAGUUAUUAAAUAGGGUGCCGCUAAUUUAUUUCUUUAAUUUUCUUAUACAUGAAAGAUUUUACUGUGUGUGAAUAAAUUAUUUCUAUGUAAAACAUGCUUUGCAUAUUUAUGGUAUAUUAUAUCAUAUACCAUAAAUAUAUAAAUAUGCUUAGUAUGUUUCUUUAUACUUUGUAUUUUUAUAUAUGUGUGUAUAUGGUAUAUACAUGGUAUAAACUUCAUAUAUAACAUACUUUGUAUAUUUAUAUUAUAAAUAUGCUUAGUAUGUUUCUUUAUACUUUNNNNNNNNNNNNNNNNNNNNNNNNNNNNNNNNNNNNNNNNNNNNNNNNNNNNNNNNNNNNNNNNNNNNNNNNNNNNNNNNNNNNNNNNNNNNNNNNNNNNNNNNNNNNNNNNNNNNNNNNNNNNNNNNNNNNNNNNNNNNNNNNNNNNNNNNNNNNNNNNNNNNNNNNNNNNNNNNNNNNNNNNNNNNNNNNNNNNNNNNNNNNNNNNNNNNNNNNNNNNNNNNNNNNNNNNNNNNNNNNNNNNNNNNNNNNNNNNNNNNNNNNNNNNNNNNNNNNNNNNNNNNNNNNNNNNNNNNNNNNNNNNNNNNNNNNNNNNNNNNNNNNNNNNNNNNNNNNNNNNNUAAUAUUGAAAAAGUAAUGUUAUAAGGAGAGUUUUAUGUAAAAAUUUAAAAGAUUGGGGUUAUAUGUUAUAACAAUAAAAGUUGGAAUUGGAGUUGAAAAAUUGUGAAAACAAUAAAAAUCUGUUUUCUUUUUUCAGAAAAUUUUUUCGGAAUUAUUUUCUGAAUUUUCAUGGCCAAACACCACAAUUUCCAACUCUGAAAUUUUUUUUGGAAAAAAACGAAAAAAUUUCCAUGGCCAAACGGGCCAUAUAUUUUUUAUAGUUUACAAGUCGUAGAUGAAUGUCAGUUGGCCUUGAAGAAUUUCUUGUAUAAAGAUUAAGUUUAAUUGUAUUGUUUUGAUAUCUUUAUUUUCUUAUUGUUUUAUUUUAAUUUGCAGAUGCUAGAUGAAUGUGAGUCGCUUUGGAAAUUUAUUUUAGGUAAAGGUUAAGUUUAAUUGUAUUAUUGUAAUAUUUCUAUUAGUUUGUUAUUUUGAGAUAGUUUACUGUUCGUAGAUGAAUCUCGAUCGGUUUUGAGAAUUUUUUGUGUGUAAAAUUUAAGUUUAAUUAUAAUGUUUUGAUAGCACUUUUAUCGUAUUAUUUGUUACAAUUUACAAGUGAUAGAUAAACGUUGGUCGAUUUUGAGAAAAUUUUUUAUGUAAAGGUUAGGUUUAGUUGUAUUAUUUUGAUAUUUCUAUUAUCGUAUUAUUUUGUUAUUAUUAAUAGGUGAUAUUUAUAUUAUUGUAUUAUUUUGUUAUUAAUAACAGGUGGUAGAUGAGUGUCGGACGACUUUGAAAAAAUUUUUGUGUGUAAAGAUUAGAUUUGAUUGUAUUAUUUUGAUGUCUUUAUCAUUGUAUUGUUUUGUUGCAAUUUACAGAUGACAGAUGAAUGUCGAUUGCCUUUUAAAAAUAUUUUUGGCAAAGAUUAGGUUUAAUAAAUAAAUUCUCCAUAUAUACUCAAAAGAUAUUAAAUUUAAUUAUUAUAUUCAUCUUUAUUAUUUAAGCAAAUAUCUUAUUUAAUGUAAUAUUUGAACUCAUUAAAGUGAGGUAACGCGCAAGACGCGUACACCUAAACUAGUCAAAUAUAUAUAUUUGAGUGUUAGUUAUUUUAAGAGUAAAUACAUAAUUACCUCACUGAUGUUGUUGGAAAUUUUCAAAAAGACACGUAAAUUUUAACUUCGACCUACUACUCCACGAUUCUUCUUUAUUCCAUUUCAAAUACACCAUUUUGGACCUCUGCGUGUAUACACACUCCACAGAUACGUAAAAUGGCUCAAAAUUGACUUUUUUGACCAACAAAAAAUUGUCACGUGUAAAUAAUUAAUAUAUAAUUUAUAUUCUUUUUUUUAAAAGGAAAAAAAUUAAUAUUUAUUUAUUUUUUAAAAUUAUCCGGUACCCCCCUCUCUCCCCCUCCCCCAACCCACCCUUUCUUCUUCAACACCUUCAACACCAUUAAAGCUUCAUUGAAGCUUUUUUUUUUUUUUAAAUAUAAUUAAAACUCCAUUAAAACUCAACAUAAUGUCUUAUUCAACAACAUUAAAGCUCCUUUGAAAUUUUUUUUUAAGAAAAUAUCUUUAAAACUCCAUUAAAGCUCAUUUAACUAUCUUUAAAACUCAAUUCUUUUUUAAAAAAAAAAUCUUUAAAACUUCAUUAAAGCCCCUCCAUUAAAGCUCAUUUAACUAUCUUUAAAACUCAAUUCUAUCAUUUAACUAUCCUUAAAACUCAAUUCAAUCAUAAAACAACUAUUUGAAUUGAUUUGAACAACAAAAAAAAUGAAUAGUAAGAGAGAUUUUGAUGGAGUGGGGGGGUUAGGAGGAGAUGCUCACAAGGUGGGGGUGUUGGACGGAGGGUGGGAAUUAAAUAUAUUUAACACGUGGUAGCACCUGAUUGGUGCGUGUGUUCACUCUUUUUAUUGUGACUGAGAUUUAGCGGAAAAUGGUGUAUUUGAAACGAAUUUAGGUCGAAUUCAAAAUUUAGGUGUCUUUUUGAAAAUCUCAGCCAACAUCAGAGGUAAUUAUGUAUUUACUCUUAUUUUAAUAAAUGGAGUCUCAUACUUGUAUGUUUGAUGAUGACUUCAAUUCAUAUUUAAUUGAAUUAUGUAACGUAUGCGUUCGGUGUUAUGAUGAAAUGAAUAAUUUUUUAAAGCAGAUGUCUUUCAAUGCUUUCCAAUCAGAUAGAAAUAAAUAAGUUGAUAAAUCAACUACAAAAGAUGAAAAAACUGUUAAAGAAGAAGCUAAGCUUAACAUCCACUUUCAAUACCAAAAGAAAUUAGCGAUAAGUACUAUGAGAGAACAAUUGAUUUAAAUGCAAUUGCUUUGGAAAGAGCGCGAUAGUCUUUUUCCUCCUACUAGUGUGCGGUUGUCAACACAUGUAAAGAAUGGAUUUGGGCCUAACUUAACCUCAAAAGCUAGCUCACGAGGGAAGGAUUGUCCAAGUCCAUAUAAGGAGACCAAUUAAUCAUCCGUUUUUCCGACGUGGAAUACUUAGCAAUACUGAACAAAUAUGAAACUUGUACAUUGUUGAUGUUAUUCUGUAGUUUUGUCAUAAAUUUCUCGUUAACUGAGCGCCAAUUUUGAUUUGUAAGAUUUUCAUAUAAUGAAUGAGUUAUGCAUCACCUCAAAUAAUUUGUACAUGUCAAUUAGGAAUGUAUGCAAUGUUCUUAGACACAACUUUUCUAAUAAUGGCGAAGUGAAGUUGAAUGAGCUUAAUGAAUUUUUGAAGGUCAAAUCAAAGAAAAAUGGUGUUCAAAAUUAUUGAACCCUCCCACAUAUAUUAUCAUUGCGCUUGUUGAGAUACUAAUAGUUGAGUCUAUAACUGUUUAAUCACCAAUAUGAUUCACGAUUUGAUUAUAUUUAAGUAUUGUCGAGGAUCGUAAUGUGUCAUUUGUGUAUUCAUGAAGUACUCAUAUGAUCAGUGAAAACUGCAUUUGAUCAUGUUGAUAUAAUCAUAAAAAGUUCAAAGUAUUAUGUUGAGAUUUUUUCAGUUAUACUCUGUGUUUGAUUCUAUGAGCCAUAUCGAUGCCUAAAUUGGGAAACAACAUUAAUGAAACUUUUGUCCCUAGGACGGUGAAGUACAAGAAAAAAGGUACUAGCAUAUUUAAUUCCCUUAACAAGAAUUUUUUGAGUUAGUAUUUUCUUUUGUUGUGCUUUAUUGUUUUUGUUCUAUUAUUUAUGUGUUGAUAGAUAUCUUUUUCUGAUAAAAAUAAUUUUUUAGCAUCAUUGUUAUACUUGACUGAGCCUAUUGAUGAAUAGUGGAAAAAUAUGCUUUUAAAAGCAUUCGAGCAGUGGCGGAUCAGGAUUUAAAAUUUGUGGGUGCUUAAAAAAUUAAAAAGCUAAAAAAAGUAAAAAAAUCACAUUAACAAGGUUUGAACUCGAGACAUCCUUUUAGUGGAGAAGCUUAAGACCAACUUAAAUGCCAAUGCAUCCAACUAACUUUUAUUUCAAUGGGUGCAUUUAUAUGUUUUAUAUCUAUUUUUAUAUAUUUUUAUGUAAUUAUAUCUAUUUCGCAUCGAAUUUACUGGGUGCCGGAGCACCCGAAAUUAUAUGUAGGUCCGCCCCUGCAUUCAAGUCGGCAGAAAAAUUCAAAGUGGAUAAUUUUAUGUUUUGAUGAUUUGUCGGUUAAUAGAAUAUCAUGUGUAAGUUUAUAAUUAUUUUAUUCUGUAACCUUAGCGAAACUUUUGUUUUAAUAUUUUGUGCUUUUCUUUUAUGGAGGGUAGUUAAUAAGCUCAAUUUUUUGAAUAAUGAGAAGUUGAACGCUGAACAUUUUCUCACUGUUCAAGAUGUUAAAAAUGAAAUGAAGGUUAGUUUAAUCUGUUGUUUCUGUGGUGUAAGAUUGAAUGUUAGGUAUUUUUUAUUAAGUUACUUCAUGUUUAAUAUACCAGACAUAAGUAAAAUAUUAAGAGAAAAAAAAACGUACAGUUUGGUGUACUUAAAUUCCUGCUACGUGCAGAGUUUGGGGAAGGGCUCCACCACGAGGAUGUAUUGUACGCAGCUUUACCUUGUAUUUCUACCAGAGGCUGUUUUCUAGGUUUGAACUUGUGACCUCCUGAUUACACGACAAUAACUUUAUCGUUACUCCAAGGCUCCCCUAGGACAUAGACAUAAGAGACGGAAUGUUAAUUAUUUUACCCUUGAAAUUUCGUGAACAUUAUAUUCUCCUUUCAAUGUUGAAGCUCCUAAGAAAUAUGAGGAUGAUAUAGGGUGUUAAUGCCAACAACAACCAUGUUAAACGUACAAGUCCGUUGAUGAAAUAUGGAGAUGUUGAUAGAUCAGGUGGAGUCAUAACUAAAGCUGAUAAUUUGGCAGUUCGAAAUGCCAAGAUUAUCUAUGAUAUUGUUAGUAAGAGACAUGUUGAACAUGUAAAUUCAUUGAUGGACUUUAGAGAUGUUGACAGAUCAAGUGGUGUAUACACGAUUAGAACUAAUGAUGGUGAUAAUCGAUGUGAUGGUCACAAAUUAACCUUAGCAAAAGAUUUGUAGUUGCAAAUGAUAAUAAAUCGAGAAAAGACACAAAUAUAGUUGUAAAUACAGUAGCUGGCACAACUAUAAAUACAAGUAGUCUAUAGAAGUAAUUGUUGUUGUUUUACUUCCUAGGCAGCCUUGCCAUUUCAGCUGGGAAUAGACUAGCGCUAGAUGUUGUUAAUCUGCUUGCAAAAUUUUGAAGCGAAGCUAUUAGUUUUAUACUACCUUUCAUUUCAUAGGAGCAAGAUGUACCUGGUGAUUCACAAAGAGUUGCAAAACGUGAUUCUUCUGUUACAUCAAAGGCAAAUCUAGGAUUUGAAGUCUAUGGAUGCACCAAUAUUGUCAAAGACGCGCAUAAACCUAGAAGUAAGACUCAAAAUGUGUUGAGCACUCGCCUCGCUUAAUGUGCAGCUUAGGUUCUAAUUUCUGAUACAUACUUUCCCUUAUCAAUGAGGCUUUCUGAGAAGACGAACACUAAACAAUUGAUAUUUCACUUUAUCAAAAAAAAUAAUUUUUUUUGUUCAUAUAUUUGUCAUUCAUACUUAUAUUAUUAGUCUUGGACUAAACAUAUAUUUAUAUCUUUUCUACUUUUAUGCCUCUUUUCGUUACAUCUCACGCUUUAUUUGUUCUUUGUGCUUAAACACAAUAGACCUUAAAGCUUUUUACGCUUAUUGCUUUUGAUAAUAUUGUGGAGUACCAAUAUUAUCUUAAAUCGUUAAAAAAACUUUCGGUGUUGAUUAAGGAAUAUUAUCAUAUUCAAUUAGUCGCUAAAUACAUGAACAAUACUGAAAAAAUAAAUAUGUAGAACAAA